AAGAAUGGAGAUUAGCAGAUAGAGGAUCGUCAGAAACAGAAAGAGAAGCUCCCUGGGUCGAAUGAGGAGGUACAGUGCUUGUAUUUCCAGAAUUUCGCCCGAGAGGUAUGUUUACUUGUUCAUCCCCCGUAGUUGAUAUCGAGGCAGGGACAGAAAGAGGUGAAGCAACCUCACUCGGUAAUGGCGUCGGGCUUGCUGUUUCAACAGAUUUUUUCUUUUUC
RNAcentral lists this long non-coding RNA (221 nucleotides) under Ananas comosus (pineapple). RNAcentral describes it as "long non-coding RNA (ACOM_LNC000918)". Lineage: Eukaryota; Viridiplantae; Streptophyta; Magnoliopsida; Poales; Bromeliaceae. The record is from RNAcentral.